GCCUAACUGGCUCAGUUGGUGGAGCAUGCAACACUUGAUCUUGGAAUCAUGAGUUCAAGACCCAUGUUAGGUA
This 73-nucleotide transfer RNA is filed under the name Canis lupus familiaris (dog). The record is from Rfam by way of RNAcentral. Lineage: Eukaryota; Metazoa; Chordata; Mammalia; Carnivora; Canidae. RNAcentral also lists the same sequence under 2 other names.